AUGGCCGACGCGGGCCAAAAUGUAGUAUCCGUCCUUAUCAGCUUGUUAUCUGAUACGGGUUGUAUUUGGACCCAACAUAUUAAACCCCGUCCGGCAUUUUUGUAAUUUCGCGGAGUCCUUGAAGCCUGCUUCAGCUGCUGCACGCGUCCGCCCGGUUACCGCACUAUCUUCGGGAUCGGCCCACGGGAG
Dermacentor andersoni is the source of this 189-nucleotide small nuclear RNA. RefSeq annotates it as U2 spliceosomal RNA. Lineage: Eukaryota; Metazoa; Arthropoda; Arachnida; Ixodida; Ixodidae. The record is from RefSeq and is a predicted model, not a curated record.